Molecule: ribosomal RNA, 245 nt
Filed under: uncultured Chryseobacterium sp.
Lineage: Bacteria; Pseudomonadati; Bacteroidota; Flavobacteriia; Flavobacteriales; Weeksellaceae
Description: partial 16S ribosomal RNA
Rfam family: Bacterial small subunit ribosomal RNA
Source: RNAcentral
UACGGAGGGUGCAAGCGUUAUCCGGAUUUAUUGGGUUUAAAGGGUCCGUAGGCUGAUUUGUAAGUCAGUGGUGAAAUCUCACAGCUUAACUGUGAAACUGCCAUUGAUACUGCAAGUCUUGAGUGUUGUUGAAGUAGCUGGAAUAAGUAGUGUAGCGGUGAAAUGCAUAGAUAUUACUUAGAACACCAAUUGCGAAGGCAGGUUACUAAGCAACAACUGACGCUGAUGGACGAAAGCGUGGGGAG